This 785-nucleotide ribosomal RNA is filed under the name uncultured Planctomycetota bacterium. RNAcentral describes it as "bacterial SSU rRNA". It matches the Rfam family "Bacterial small subunit ribosomal RNA", at positions 8 to 807 of the family's 1533-position model. Lineage: Bacteria; Pseudomonadati; Planctomycetota. The record is from RNAcentral.
AGGGUUUGAUCAUGGCUCAGAACGAACGUUGGCGGCAUGGAUUAGGCAUGCAAGUCGAACGAAUGCCAGGGUAGCAAUACCUUGGCGGAAGUGGCGAAAGGGGCAGUAAUACAAGGAUAACCUACCCUGGGGAUGGGCAUAGCCGGUCUAACGGCCGGGUAAUACCCAGAGAUUCGGCGAGUUGGCAUCAAUUUGCCGGGAAAUGAAUUUCGCCUCAGGAGGGGUCCAUGAGCUAUCAGCUAGUUGGAGGGGUAACGGCCCACCAAGGCUUAGACGGCUAGCGGGUGUGAGAGCACGACCCGCGCCACUGGCACUGAGACACUGGCCAGACACCUACGGGUGGCUGCAGUCGAGGAUCUUCGUCAAUGGGCGCAAGCCUGAACGAGCGAUGCCGCGUGAGCGAUGAAGGCCUUCGGGUUGUAAAGCUCAAAAGAGGUGAGAAAGGGAAACUUGAUCAAACCUCAGUAAGCUCGGGCUAAGUUCGUGCCAGCAGCCGCGGUAAGACGAACCGAGCGAACGUUGUUCGGAAUCACUGGGCUUAAAGGGCGCGUAGGCGGGUACCCAAGUCUGUGGUGAAAUCCUCCGGCUCAACCGGAGAACUGCCAUGGAUACUGGAUGUCUCGAGGGUGGUAGGGGUAUGCGGAACUAUCGGUGGAGCGGUGAAAUGCGUUGAUAUCGAUAGGAACUCCGGUGGCGAAAGCGGCAUACUGGACCACAUCUGACGCUGAGGCGCGAAAGCCAGGGGAGCAAACGGGAUUAGAUACCCCGGUAGUCCUGCCCUAAAC